AGUGAACGCUGGCGGAAGGCCUAACACAUGCAAGUCGAACGGCAGCACAGUAAGAGCUUGCUCUUACGGGUGGCGAGUGGCGGACGGGUGAGGAAUACAUCGGAAUCUACUUUUUCGUGGGGGAUAACGUAGGGAAACUUACGCUAAUACCGCAUACGACCUACGGGUGAAAGCAGGGGAUCUUCGGACCUUGCGCGAUUGAAUGAGCCGAUGUCGGAUUAGCUAGUUGGCGGGGUAAAGGCCCACCAAGGCGACGAUCCGUAGCUGGUCUGAGAGGAUGAUCAGCCACACUGGAACUGAGACACGGUCCAGACUCCUACGGGAGGCAGCAGUGGGGAAUAUUGGACAAAGGGCGCAAGCCUGAUCCAGCCAUACCGCGUGGGUGAAGAAGGCCUUCGGGUUGUAAAGCCCUUUUGUUGGGAAAGAAAAGCAGCAGGUUAAUACCCCGCUGUUCUGACGGUGCCCAAAGAAUAAGCACCGGCUAACUUCGUG
Molecule: ribosomal RNA, 492 nt
Filed under: uncultured bacterium
Lineage: Bacteria
Description: partial 16S ribosomal RNA
Rfam family: Bacterial small subunit ribosomal RNA
Source: RNAcentral